ACAAGCGGUGGAGCAUGUGGUUUAAUUCGAUGCAACGCGAAGAACCUUACCUGGGCUUGACACUCCGGGAACUCCCCGUGGAAACGAGGGGAGGUGCCCUUCGGGAACCCGGUGACAGGUGGUGCAUGGUUGUCGUCAGCUCGUGUCGUGAGAUGUUGGGUUAAGUCCCGCAACGAGCGCAACCCCUACGUUUAGUUGCUAACGCGUGAAGGCGAGCACUCUAGACGAACUGCCGUUGACAAAACGGAGGAAGGUGGGAUGACGUCAAAUCAUCAUGCCCCUUAUGUUCUGGGCUACACACGUGCUACAAUGGCCGGUACAGACGGACGCAAAGCCGCGAGGUGGAGCAAAUCCUAAAAAGCCGGUCUCAGUUCGGAUUGCAGGCUGCAAUUCGCCUGCAUGAAGUCGGAAUCGCUAGUAAUCGCAGGUCAGCAUACUGCGGUGAAUACGUUCCCGGGCCUU
This 462-nucleotide ribosomal RNA is filed under the name uncultured Pelotomaculum sp. Its description in RNAcentral is "bacterial SSU rRNA". It matches the Rfam family "Bacterial small subunit ribosomal RNA", at positions 925 to 1382 of the family's 1533-position model. The record is from RNAcentral. Lineage: Bacteria; Bacillati; Bacillota; Clostridia; Eubacteriales; Desulfotomaculaceae.